This is a long non-coding RNA of Heteronotia binoei (common prickly gecko), 1370 nucleotides long. RefSeq lists it as uncharacterized. The record is from RefSeq and is a predicted model, not a curated record. NCBI's taxonomy places the organism in Eukaryota, Metazoa, Chordata, Lepidosauria, Squamata, Gekkonidae. The transcript is spliced from 2 exons.
AAUACUCAUUGAAGCAUAGACUCAUAACUUGUUUUUUUCUAUAAACACCUGAACAUUUCAAGGGGUUUUUAAAGCUGAAGAACUGUUUCCUUUUUAACCACAUAGUGUGAGAAUUUCAUGGGUGACAGACCUUCUAUGUGAAGUGAGGUAUAUCCUCUCCUCAUUCAGGAAGCUCGUGGGUUUUUCACUGUACACGUGUUGACCCCAUUUUUUUCUAUCUCUAUUCUCUUUUACUGAUUAAAGUUUCCUCUUUUGCAGACGUCAGGAGACCUAAGAUUUGUUUCAGACAAUGAUGCAGAAUCCCUGGAUCCACAAGACAAAAAGAAGAAGACAAAGAAGCAAACGAUACAAAUGAAUGAAACAGAAUUCCAGGUAAAUAAUGAUUUUACAUCGGAUAGUUUUGAGAAGCAAUCAAAGAAAGACAUAACAAAGAAGAAGAAAAGGACUGUGAAAGCAACAAGGGCAAGUAGAACUUCAAAUGAUGCCUUUGACCCAGAUAUUCUUCAAGCAUAGUCUAAAUUUUGGUAUCGAAUACUGGCUUCAUAUUUCAAAAGAAGCAAGGAAAAAUACGGCAUUAAAUUUUAGUAUGAAACAGUGACUUUCUCAUGGUGGAAAAUGUGAAGUAUUGUCAAACAUAUACAUUGACAAUUAGAAUUUUUUAUGGCGUGGGCAGCCAAGGAUACAAAAGUAAGAACAUGAAUUUCACAGCGGAACAAUGAAACUCAGAAUAGUUACUGUCACAUGUGACUUUGGUAUUUCCUUACAUGUAAAAUACAUUAUUAUUCUUUACAAGUAAAAUAAGUUGUUUUAAAAAUGUAAUGAAAUAUUUGAGAUAUUCUUUUAAACUUGAAAGAUACCAUUGUGAGCAGAACUGGAACAUGAGUUGGUACAGACAUAGCAUUCUGGAAGCUCUCUUUUUCUGGUUCAAAUAAAGGCUUGCAGUAGUUGUUGUUUGAUAUGUGGUAACUCUAAAAGAGUUCAAAAACUAGGGAAAAAAUCCAUUCCAAAAUAAAUCCCAGAUUCCAAAAAUAAAUUCCAAAUAAAUUCUUGUCUUCCUAGCUUUUUCAACACUGUUGUACAUUUGUGUAGUCACAGACAUCAAUUAUAAUAAAUCUGAAUCUGUAAAUGAGUAAAUUCCAGCCACCAUCAUUAAGAGAUGCAAAAAUGGUUUUUAUAUGUUUUUAACUUAAAUUAACUUAAAUUGUUGAAGCAAAAAGUUCUUUAUUUAGUGUUGCCAAACUAAGUCUACUUAAUUUUGACUGUUUUUAAUUAAAAUGUAGGUAAGAGUAUAUUUUUAUGUAAGUAUAUUUUUGUGCUCAGGUGUUACUGUUUUUAAAUUAAAAAGCAUUAAAUUGUGAAAGAUUUAUUAA